GAAGUGCGAACCAAGCAGCGGCGGAAGCCGUGUGAGUCUUGGAGCGGGCGACCGUAAGGGCGCCCUGCA
Molecule: non-coding RNA, 69 nt
Submitted as: unclassified sequences
Source: Rfam